CAUUUUUUUACAAAAUAAGUAACGUACUUUUUUUAUUUAGCGGAUACAGAUGACGAACAUGGAAUUGGAAAUUGGUCUACAUCAGAACCAUCAAUAAUUUCGCUAGCAGAUUCAUGGUCAUCAACAGAUGUUACUUAUGAAUCGGAUGCAGACGUGUUACCUCCACUUCUGCGUCUUAAUCAGCCAGCUAUUGAAACCAUUUGGCUAACUGAUUCGGAUUAAUAUGGUUUUUAGGGAGGUAUUUAUUAUUGUUGAAAACAUGAACGUUAGAGAUCACUGUUAACAGAUAGAGUUGUUGGAAAUUAUUGUCAUGUAUACUCUACGCUAUGAGACUUAAAUGUUUUAAAAUCAAUGAGGUGAACCCUUCACUAACCGAAGAUAACCACAAUCUGGAGACCAUCUUGCAUGCUCGAUCCAAGGUUCGUCGUUCGGCUCCCAAGAUCUCAGACCUUGACGACAAUAAAAACAUGAGACAUCAUCAUUUGAUCCAUCACCAAUAUAAAUAAAACCGGCUUCACUCAUAAGUUCUCGCUUUGAAAUAAGUAGUGUAUUACUACAUUUAUCAAAAGUCUUGUUACGCGUUUUACAAUCUAAAUAGUCUAAUGUACAAAAAACAUCACAUUCACUAUUAUAAUCAUCCAUUAUUAUACUGUUUAAAUUGAAUUAAAAUGACUAUCAUUUAUUUGAAACAUGUUUUUAUAUAUGAUUUAUUUCUUCCACUUCUUAUUUAGUAGAACACUCAAUGUUACAAAUAAUUUUCUAUACUAAACAAUAUAUAAGGUUAAACUAUAAUUUGUAAAAAUGGGCGGUAAAGCCCCAAAUUACUACUACUCGUUUGUACAGUUCCAAAAAAGUCUAAAACUUUCUCAGUGGCUUUACAAGCAUCAACGACUGCUAAAUUAAGACAGUGAGCAAAACACCAUAUAUUUAGAGCACUUGAAUUCUCAGCUUGUACAUAAGAUCUAAGACUUUUAAAUUCGCUCUGCAUACUUGAUGCACCAUUGUAUGCUUGGCCUAUCAACUGAAUUCUUUAAAUUAACCCAUGUUUAUCACAUAAUUUACUAAACAACUCAAACAUUCCUUUCCUGUAGAAUUUUCUAUAGC
Adelges cooleyi (spruce gall adelgid) is the source of this 1104-nucleotide long non-coding RNA. RefSeq lists it as uncharacterized. NCBI's taxonomy places the organism in Eukaryota, Metazoa, Arthropoda, Insecta, Hemiptera, Adelgidae. The transcript is spliced from 5 exons. The record is from RefSeq and is a predicted model, not a curated record.